GGGGAGCGCAUGGACACCCGUGGCUGAUUCAUGUCGCUGUUUGGCAAAGACCGCCACAAUAUGGUAAAAUAGUUAGCCUCCAGUUAAAUGAAUUUUUAAAAAUUACAUGCCAUAAAAUCAUCCCUUGUAAGUAUAAUUCAAUGAAGUUUUCAAAAAACCUGUAGUCGUAAAACUGCCACCACAUUCAAGAUACGCAACAGUAUCUUCCCCUUCCCACCAAAGGUAUUACCCUCCUCCCACUUCCAGUCUCUAGGGACAACUAAACUGUCCCCCUCCUUACAGUGCUGCCUUCUCUAGGAUGUAUGGUCAAUGUGAAACCGCGUGGUGUGCCGCAUGCUAGUGUGGGCGGGGUGCUUCUGGCUUCCUCACUUAGCAGAAAGCUUUUGCAGUUAAUUCUUUUCCACGUGUCAGUAGUUCAAUAGUAUUGUUGAAAACUUUAUUCAGUUUUAAAUUUGAGUUUUCUGGUACACAGUAAAAAAUGAAGCAACAGAGGGUUAAUGUAUUGACUCAAUAGUAGAACUUAGUAUUCAUACCAUCAAAGUUUUCUACGAAAAAUCAGUUAAUUUUAAUAAUACUUGAGUUUUUGCAUCAAAUUCAUGGAUGUAAGUAACGCUUUCCCAAGCUUAUCUUGUAGAAGAUAAAUCAUAUAGUAUUUUAAGUGUUACUGUAAAUUCAGUUAAAUGAAUCCUUAAAAAUAAAAUUACUUGUUUUGUGGUGACAAGAAAAAUGUAAAUUCUGAUGGAGUAUAGUAUCAUAGUGAAGAUAAUACAUGUCAAAUUAAAAAAUAUAUGCAGGAGGAAGAAAUGUGCUUAAACUUGGUUGUACGUUUUUGUGUCGAAAAGUGGUAUAUUCUAGCAAUCAUUAUAGAGGCUAUAAUGUUCAUAAUUACCAAAUACGUUUACAUGUGAGGAAUUCGUUACAGCAGUCACACUAUGUGCUAUUUGUUAAAUGCAGGAAAGCAGGUGGCGUGCAGAACUUGGCUUUCCUUUUUGCUGCCAUCAUCGGCCAGAAUUUUAAACUGUCUGAGCCUUUGAAUGAACGCUUUGUAAACAGCCUCAGUGCCUGACAAUUAUUGUUCUUUUCUGAAUGAGCCUUUUGUAUUUUCUUUUCAUUUUGUUUGAAAUCACUUGAAAAUAUUUAGUCAAAGUAUUUAAUCAGCAAAGCAUAGAAAAACUUCAUUUUAGUGGAUGGCAAGUAUUGUAAACCAAGCUUAAAGACAGGAGUACUUUGAAAUGUAUCACUAGAUAAGAAAGGGGGAAAGUGAAACAGUAAGAGGUCAAACUAUGUACUAGAUUCAAGAGUUUUCCUUUGGAAUGCUUGGAAUAUUUUAGCUUGGGAGACUUUGCUUCUGUCUUUAAUUGGGCACAUUGAUCAGUACUGAAACUGAACACAGUUGAAAAGGUCUGUCAUUUUGCAGCACCUACAUUGGACAAAACACUAAAAAGAAUCAUAGAGAUCCUUUUUAUGACAAUUUCUUGUAUUACAAAAUUUGUAUUGUGUUGUACCUUUUUUGAAGGUAAUUUCUCUGAGUAAUGAAAGGACCAAUGAGGGAUUUGGACUGAAAUACUUCGAUGCUCAACAUAAAAAGUAGAGUUGAGAUUUUCUCAGUGUAGCAAAAUGCUGGGGACAAAUAGAAUUGAAAAUAUUCUCUGUGUAGUGGAAUUUAUCCUGUGUCUUUAAGGUAGUUCGGCAAGUACAGAAUAUUUUUUAAGUUAAAACUUUUUAUGGUCUAUAGCAAAGAGUUAACUGAAGAUGCCCACAAUUUCAAAUUUAUUAAGCAUAAAAUGCACCACUGAGGAAAAUUACAGGAAAUUUUAGAUGCAAGAGAGAUAUUAUUUACAUUAAUACCAGCAACUUAGUGUAAGAGACAAAUAUGGCUAAGUAUACAACAAAUGUGUGAAAAUAUAAUGAAAAAUCAUUGUGUUUAGGUUAUUUUAUUUCUGGUAAUAUAUAGAUGCCAUCUCACAGAAAUAAUCUUACGUUUCAAAAUAAUUUUGGGAAAAUGAAAGGCUAUAGGUUCACUGAUAUUGUAAAACCAGUCAAUAAUAAAAAAUAGAUACUAUAAUAAUUAUAUAAUUAUAUUCUUUGAUACCUAUUUUAACUUUCAAAGAUGUCCCCAAGUCAUCAUAUGUUAUGCCCACCUCAUAACAAAAUCUUCAGAGCUUGCCGGGGUCCAGCCCUGGGGGAUCCAGGGUGAUUCGAAAUGGAGACGGAGUAGGCGAGGAAAAAACUUAUUUAUUUAGAAAUAUAAGAUUAGGAAAUAAUAGUAUAGUAGGAAAAU
Molecule: long non-coding RNA, 2281 nt
Filed under: Capra hircus (goat)
Lineage: Eukaryota; Metazoa; Chordata; Mammalia; Artiodactyla; Bovidae
Description: lncRNA (ENSCHIG00010002060.1)
Source: RNAcentral